Molecule: long non-coding RNA, 1476 nt
Organism: Lolium rigidum
Lineage: Eukaryota; Viridiplantae; Streptophyta; Magnoliopsida; Poales; Poaceae
Exons: 3
Source: RefSeq, a predicted model, not a curated record
CCAACGGGCAGCCGGCUGCGGGGAACGGCGCCACCGAUGGUGGCAAGGAGAAGCACACGCGCGGAAGCGGCGGCGGCCUCCAUCUCCGGCUCCUUUUCAUCGCCCACGGCAGCCGGCCGAGAUCAGCCUCCUCCACCCCACCCUUCUUCGUUGCUCAAAUGGAGGAGCACGAGCAACCCUGCUGCCAUUUCUACUCUCGCAUCUUCCUCGUCAAUGCUGAAGAGGAGCACGAGAAGCCAUCAGAGUCAUCACUGCAAAAAUAGGGAUGGAUUAGAAUGUUAACCCGAGGGGAGCUGCUGCAGCCAAAGGCUAAGAUGAAACGCCUAAUCUGUUGUGACCUCGGCUCCACCCGAUCUUGCCGGAUUUGCAUCUUUCCCAGAUGCUUUUUAAUCUAUGCUAAGGUGCUUGAUGAAAUUCCAAGCAGACUGACAUGGAAGAUUUAGCUAUGUGAUAUUUGUUCUUUGUGGUCUACCUACUAUUUUUUUCUUCUUCUGAAUUGAGCUCCAUUCAACUAUAAAUUUGUAGUCCAUCUGGCUUUGGUCAGAUCUAGGAGAGAAAAGAGAGAGAGUUCGGUGAAAAAGAAUGUGUUUUUCCCCAGUGAACAGAAUCAAGUUCGUUCUUGCCUUUUGAUGUUAUAUGGUCUGUGGUACAGUAAACAUGAGUAUUGACCAUAAAUGUUUCUGUAUAUGUAUGCUGGAAAGUGGAAACUAGACAUUCUAAUAUUCGUUUGGAUAUCUUCUGCAGGAAUUUGAGGCUGCUACAUCAUUCCAUUUGGUUGAGCUUCCUAAAAUCAAAGGGACAUGUUGGACUUUCAAGAUAUAAUAUCUCAGGUCUUAAACUUCUCAUUUCUGUUGCCAAACUAUUUGAAUAAGUUCGACUUUCAUGUCUCUUAGACAGUUGACAUCAUUUGUUAAAAUUUGUAUUCAUCUCUACAAGAGUUUUCUGAUGGUAAUUAAAGGAGGUUUUUGAAAUUCGAAUCUGACACAAGUGCAAAACAGACACGGUAAGCUACUAACUAUAGUGUUAGAUAUAUGCUCUUUACUAUAGACAUGGGAAAUAUAAAAUAUCUGCAGAUGAUUAGACAAUGUGAGUCUUCCCCUAUUCUCCCCUAUUAGCCAUUUGCAUACCUUAUUUAUAAUUAAGCACUUUCCUCUACUUCUAGGUAUGGUGGUCAUCACAUCCAGCUUCAUAGAUUAGCUAGCUAAUGGAUAUGUGCAAUUAUUUUCAGGUCAAGUGAAAAAAUAAACUUCUCGAUUUCCUGAUUUAACAUGAUCAUCGAGUUUUCCAUGAGGUAAGUUUGAUUCAUGAGGAAAAACUCUCAGAAGCAGCGUUCUUGGUGGCUUGGAGGCGCAGGUUUGUUUUUCUUGCAAUUUUGAUUCCUCGGAGUUCAGUGUGUACUUGGACUGAUGGUAUUUUACGCUUUUGGGUUGUUCCUUGGUUUGCUUGCAUGGAUUAUAGGUUUAAAAAAUUAGAAGC